UGGCUAUCUCAACUCAAAACUAAUGUUAAGGUUUAGCUGAUUGAAAAGAACAUGGCAGCAAGGCAAGAAGAGCCAGGACAAAGAAGACAGGCAUCUCCUGCUUGGGCAAGAGAUGCUUCUACAAAAUAUCUUCUGGAGUUUGAGCGGUACUUUUCGGGCGGCGCCGGGUCGUUCGGCGCGCUGCACGAGCAGGCGCUGCUGCGACAGCUGGCCGGCUGCGGCCUGCGCUCGCUGGCCUGGCGCCUCUUCCUGCAGGUGCUGCCGGUCGACCCCGCCAGCUGGGAGCUGCUCACCAAGGAGCACCGACGCCUCUACAGCCUGGCCAAGACCACCUACAGUGAUUACACGGAUGUGAAUGACACGCGGAUCAGGUGUGAGAGUCCGUGGCACCGUCUGUUCGAGCACGCCGACCUGCGCCGGGUGAUUGAACAGGACGUGGUGCGCACCAUGCCCGACGUGGCCCUCUUCCGGGACGAGCACGUGUGCCGCUGCAUGACUGACGUUCUGUUCGUGUUCAUGCAGAAGCACCCGGAGGUUGACUAUGUGCAGGGAAUGCACGAGCUGCUGGCUCCCAUCAUCUACCUGCUGCGGAGAGAGUACAGCAACUUUGCCGAUGUGCGAGCCGCUCAUCGUGCCAACCACCCCACAUUCGACCUUCUAGAAGUUCUACUGGACAAGGACUACGUAGAGCAUGAUGCCUUUUACAUGCUGGAGAAGCUGCUGAAGAUGAUGGACUGGAGUAGUUCGGUGAACCGUCGCCGCGAGUACGAGGAGAUGCAGCGGGCGCCGCCGCCCGCGCCCGAUCUCCUCCACCCGCCGCUCUUCGCCAAGGACCGGGCCAGUCCUAGUGUGAACCAGUGGGGGCCGUCGCCGUGUAACCGCGCCGUGCGCCGUCACCUCUGUAUGAUCGACUACGACCUCUACCUGAAACUGGCCGAGCUGGGCGUGGAACCGCAGGUGUUUGGGCUUAAGAUGUUCCGACUGCUGUUUGGCCGCGAGUUUCGUCUCUCGGAGCUCUGCUCGGUGUGGGACGCCCUGUUGGCGGACAGCCACGCCACCAGCACGCUCGACCUGGUGCCUUACGUCUUCUGUGCCAUCCUUAUCUACAAUCGGCGACAGAUUCUGGAGCGGGAAGGAAUGGAGGCGCUGACGCUGCUGCUCAACCUGCCGCCCCUACCGGACAUUGCUGGCUGCAUCGCCUUCGCACUCCACAUCCGGAACCCUCUGGAUUAUCCCAAGCCGAACAACUUUCCGCCCCCGCCGCCGGUGUCGCCCCGUAAGCCGGCCGCCUCCAAGAUCCGGCUGCGUCGGCGGUCGGUGGAGCGGUCCAAAUCCGCCGUCGGACAGCCGAAGUCUGAGAGCGGUAGCGGCUCGGUCAGCCCGGCUCGGCCCCGCAGUAUGACCCAGCCGCCGCCAAUGUCGGCGCCGGGCCGGACCGGCCUGGUCGGCCUGGCACGCAGUGGAUCAGAGACCGUAGUGUCGCGGUCGGGGUCAGCCACCGUAGCGGCGGCGUCGGCGGAUCUCGUGACGUAUGGCCCGCCGCCCGUGGCCAUGAAGGAUGUGUCUGCACUGCGGGGAAAGCACGCCCUGCUAGCCUCGUCCGAGGCGUCUGCCUACGCAGUCAUGGAGAGCAAACAGACGUCCACACCACCCGAGUGGAAUCCGCCAAAAGCCAACUCGCACACAGCCAGAGGGGAUCCUGGUUAGUGUCUGCCAUCUCCACAUUGCGAGCCAGGCUGCAAACAACAAGAAUCGAGGCUGGGUCUGACGGGGAUGCCGUGCAAGGUGCGGCGGGCGGUGCUGCGCCAGACCCUCUGUGUCGAGACCAUGGACCGGCUGCUGCAGAACAAGGAAGUUGACCUAAGGACGCUCAGAGAGCUAGUCAACGUUCAAAAACAGCUGCUGCGUGACCUGUGGCCGUUUGGCGGCGGCUGGAGCCCGCAGCCGCAGUGUCCGCGUCAGCCGCCGGACGGGACCAGUGACGAGGAGUCUGCGCCGCCGUCCCUCUCCACCCCGGUCCCGGAGGACCUCUACCCGCCCUCCGCCGCUGAUAUUGUGGAGGAGGUCACCCCGGAGGACGGCUCGGCACCCGUCUCCAACGGCCUGCCCGCAGUGGGAGUGUCGCCCGCGUACGACACUUUGGCUGUGGAUGUGGCCAACCUGAGUAUGUCGGAGGCCGCCGAGCAGCGGUGAGCGGCGGGCUGUGGACGGACAGAUCCUGUGAUAGACACAGAGUGAUGUGUACGGCUGUUUCCCGGACUAGAAUGGCAACCGAUGAACGUAGCGAAGCUUACAUAUUCUUGGACACAUCCGUAAUAAUUAUUCGUGCCGGUGUGGUGACAAGUGGUGUCGCCAGGACGACGUCUCCCGGCCGGCGCGAUAUGACCAAGUGACUGGUGUCUCACAGAACUUUGUGCCAGUCGGUGCGAUUGUGUUCUUCGGGCCAGUACUGCAAUUGCUCAGCCGUGGUGUGGCUGCUACUGGGGCCGAUAUCGCGGUAAUGCGUGGGUUUGUGAUAGUGUAUGGAGGCUGUGGACGCUACGUAUGCGCUGCAUUGUUAGCCAUGCCAGACGGCUGAGCGGUGAACGCUUUCCUUCCGUUCUGCUUCCUCAGAUCUGAACAGUGCUGCAGAAUAGCGAGUGACAUGUGCGGUCCACUCCGACUUGUGUGUGUGUCUGCUGUGACGUGUGCCAUAGUGUACGUCGGGGUGGCUGUUUUACGUUUGUACCUCCCGUGUAUCUCAUUUGGAUCCCGUCUCAGGUAUCCGGGGCUCCAGAAGUGCUUAUAGUUCUUUUAUCAGCCGGAUCAUUCCAUUGUUGUAUGCUGCAUGCCAGAUCUUCAAGUACAAGUAUAUUUAGUUAUGCAUAGGCCACUGUACCGGGCUGCGCCUUUCUUGGUUCAACGAUCAUAUCAACGAAUUAUAGCCAGUUCCUCGUGUAAUAGCUUGAUUUUUAUUGAAUCGUAUUGGGGCAUUCCGAACUAUACCUACUAAUGUGAUUAAUUCCUUUUACGGGACUUUAAACGAAUCUUACGAUGCUUAUUUAUCACAAUGCAUUACUGUGGUUUUACGUACACGUCAAAUAAUAAAGCAAAUGGUGAACAAUGCAA
This 3108-nucleotide unclassified non-coding RNA is filed under the name Amphibalanus amphitrite. RNAcentral describes it as "tBC1 domain family member 5 homolog B-like, transcript variant X14". The record is from RNAcentral. Lineage: Eukaryota; Metazoa; Arthropoda; Thecostraca; Balanomorpha; Balanidae.